This 443-nucleotide ribosomal RNA is filed under the name uncultured archaeon. RNAcentral's name for it is "bacterial SSU rRNA". It matches the Rfam family "Archaeal small subunit ribosomal RNA", at positions 15 to 463 of the family's 1478-position model. The record is from RNAcentral.
CGCCGGACCUGACUGCUAUCGGAUUGAUACUAAGCCAUGCGAGUCAUUGUAGCAAUACAAGGCAUACGGCUCAGUAACGCGUAGUCAACCUAACCUAUGGACGGGAAUAACCUCGGGAAACUGAGAAUAAUGCCCGAUAGAACAUUAUGCCUGGAAUGGUUUAUGUUCCAAAUGAUUUAUCGCCGUAGGAUGGGACUGCGGCCUAUCAGUUUGUUGGCGAGGUAAUGGCCCACCAAGACUAUUACAGGUACGGGCUCUGAGAGGAGUAGCCCGGAGAUGGGUACUGAGACACGGACCCAGGCCCUAUGGGGCGCAGCAGGCGAGAAAACUUUGCAAUGUGCGAAAGCACGACAAGGUUAAUCCGAGUGGUUUCUGCUAAAGAAACCUUUUGUCAGUCCUAGAAACACUGAUGAAUAAGGGGUGGGCAAGUUCUGGGGUCAGCA